GUUCACAGACAGGGUCACAUAUUGUGAACUCUCAUUUGGUCUGUGUAAGUUACAGACAUUUUUAUCUUUUUCAAAUGUUUUUGAUGAUGCCCACUUAAAUCACAGUUUUGGCUCUUUUCCACAGACCCUGAUGGAUAAAAGAUGGAUAUUUUUUUCCUGGAGAAGCUAAAACAAUGUAACUUUGAGGUUCUGAUACCAGCUUUUACAAAGUUAUUUACAGAGUUCACCAGACUUCUCUGUGUUAUUUCCUGACCAUGCCGAAAAGCUAUUUGAAACUUGGGCAUUGCAUUUUCCAGACAGAAUCUUGCACUUCCCAGCCAAGAACCAGGAGCAUCAACAAAUCACCUCCAGAACCCCAUGAUGAUAUUCCAACUCCUGUCUACAAAAGUGGGAAGAAAAUCUUAAGUCUAUGUUGGGACCAACAUGGUUGCAUUCUUCUGAGAGGCUGAGGUGACAAAACCAUUCCCAUUUGUCCUUGGAUUGGAAGAUGGCGAUCUCUGCCAUCAAGCCUUCGUUGUUUUUGACAGACAGUCACUCCAGCAAUACACCCUCCUUGGUGAUGUUGACAUGUUUUAAACUUUUUUUAUGUUUUGAACAUUAAUUUUACCAAGCAGUGCACAUCAGUGUGGGUGUUUUUGAAGACUGUUGUUUACAAACUCCCAAGAACUGAAUCCCUUUCUAUAAGAAGUCUGGGUAGUUAUUUGUCAUGCUAAGGUCAUAACUCAUGUUGAUCAUAUAUUGACUGUUUGUGCAACUUUGUGUUGAUCUUAUGUGUUACAUUAACCAUUUCUUAUUACACGGUUCUCUAAAAUGCUAGAUUCUUAUUGGCCAGUCUUGACAUUCUACUACUGCUCAAAACUAAAAACUCCAAUGCUGCAAAUCAUUUUGACAUGUACAGUUUUAUAUUACACAAAUAUUAAAUAUCAAUGUCUAUUAAUUACAUAUCCGACAUUAAAUUUACAAAUGAUUAAAUGUGUUCGUGACAUUUGUCCUGAAGAAACUGUUGGGGCUUUUUUCUGUGAUGACAUGCUGCCAAUACAUUAUCCCUUACUUGUACAACUUUUUACUUGAUCUAAUUGUAAUGUUAACUGGGUAUCUGUCAUUUUAGAU
Long non-coding RNA from Paramisgurnus dabryanus, 1110 nucleotides. RefSeq lists it as uncharacterized. The record is from RefSeq and is a predicted model, not a curated record. NCBI's taxonomy places the organism in Eukaryota, Metazoa, Chordata, Actinopteri, Cypriniformes, Cobitidae.